UAAUUUUUUCACGAACUAUAGUCAUCAGAGUUAAACUCCUCUUUUUGGUUGAUUUGUUUUGGCUGGCUCUGUAGAGGUUCCAGCAAGGCUGGGGUCACCUGCUUCUUCUUCUUCUUCUUUUAUAACAAUGGACACCUGCUCAUGACAUCCAUGGAUGGAUCCUUGCUCUUCCCCCCUCCUUUUCUUUCGAUUUUCUUUUUGUCCAACCUCGUGUGUAUUACUGGCUAGUUAUUUAAUAUUAAAAGCGAGAGAGAGGGAGGGAGAGAGAGUCAAACAUAACAUCCGUCAUGAUCUGAAUAAUCCGACUGCAUAAACAAAAGUAAAAUGCUGAUUUUUACGAAGUCCUUCACUUGUAAAUAUUUGUUUAUAAAUGAACUUGUGACAUUUUGAGAUUCGAAGACACCACUAGAUCAUUAAAAGUACCUUGAUUUUCUUUUGAAAGUUAAAAUUCAGGUAAGAUUUGAAUUUAAACCAACCUCUUGCCAUGCCCAAUUCUGGUUCUAGGCCUUCCCCUGGUUUCCCAAUGGCGUCCCUGCCUGGGACCACUCUUUGGUCAACUGGAAAGCCGCCCUCAGGAUCCCAACCAUCCUUAUUACCGCCCAAUGUAGCAGCAGGACGACUCGCUGGCCCUCCUGUUAGUCAGCCCCCACCUCCUUUAGCUUCCAGACCGUCGCCUCCGGGGUCAAUGCCCUCUUCUAUGCGUGGUCCCGCAGUGCCUCCUUCUGGUGGCUUCCCUUCUCCUGGUUCACCUAGUGGUCCUACUGUUCCGCCACCACCAGGGGUUCGCGCGAGUCCUUUUGCUUCGUCUUCUCCGUUGAGUUCUGGUCCAGUUGUUAACAUAUUGAGCGUGCCACCUAAUGAAGCAGUGAGUAAUGGGAUGUCGUUUGCUUCUGGUUCUAUGCUUGGUGGGCCUAGAUUCCCUCCAGUUAGCAGUACCCCACCACCACCUAUGGGAUCUCCACCAAUUGUUUCAGCUCCAGCUCCCCCUCAAGCUCCACCAGUUUCUUCUAUGCAAUCACGGCCGCCAUUUUCUGCUGGAGGUCCAGGUGUGCCGCCACCUUUUUUAGCGGGAUCUCAAGGUGUACCGCCACCCCCAGGUCCUCCCUCUGGAGCACAGACAUGGUCACUGCAACCUCAGCAGCCACCUACAAAGUUUGGAACGCCUCCACAUUUAGCAAACCAAGGUAUGAUGUCUAUAUCGCCUGCUAUGGGCCAAAAUGGAGCCUCUCUUGCAGGGCAACCAAAGAUGCAUAGCAAGAGUGUUCCAAGGUCCACUCUAACCUCUGAAUCAAUCCAUCAUGAAACAAGUCUGAACUAUCAGGCUAACCCUCCUCCCGCAUGUCAUGUGAACUUCUUAUGGAAGGGGCAUAUUGCUUGAUUUGUUUUGAUACUGGCUAGAGCAGAUUCUAUGAUUUGAUCAUUUUUUCUUUGUAUUUCUUUUAUUCCUUGUAUAUUUUUUUGGGUAGAAAAAUGAAAUGUUAAUGCAGUAAAAUGGAGGAAAGUAAAGAACAGGAGGAUGAGAAUUCCACGCAAACUUGAAAAAACUAAAGCAUUAGAAGAAAAAAGACAAACACCAAAUCCCUUCAAUUCUGCAUUUUUUGUUUUUGCCAAAAAUAAUCUCACGUAUGCUGUCUUUGCUUGUGUAGAACCAGGUUCUAUAUAUUGUUCGUUCCUUUUUUUUUUCUCAUUACAUUUGAUGUUUUGAAGCCUGCUUCAAGUGAGUAAAUAGCCAGAGACUCUGGUAAUUGCAGUCCACGAUACAUGAGGUGUACUAUCAAUCAGGUCAUGUUUGAGCAUUUAGUAUCUUUGAAUCCCUUGUAUGCUUUCGAAUGAACUAAAAGGUUAUAUGUUAUGCCAAAUUUUGGUAAAUAUUUCCUCGCAUCCUAAGGAAUAAUUGUUAAUCUCACAGUUCUUGGGAGGAAAUCUCAAUUUUUUACUGGUUUAUCUGAUCAUCAAACUAACAAUUUUAAACUGCAAUUCUGUGUUUAUGCUAUUGAGUUUUCUUGAUAUAGGUUGUGGACUUUGGGGAAAGUGGUCCUGUGAGGUGUUCUCGUUGCAAAGGUUACAUAAAUCCUUUCAUGAAACUCAUUGAUCAUGGAACUGGAAGACGAUUCACCUGUAACUUUUGUGGGUUUGCUGAAGAGACUCCCGUGGCUAUCAG
Molecule: RNA transcript, 2161 nt
Organism: Populus nigra (black poplar)
Lineage: Eukaryota; Viridiplantae; Streptophyta; Magnoliopsida; Malpighiales; Salicaceae
Gene name: protein transport protein SEC24 B-like
Exons: 4
Source: RefSeq, a predicted model, not a curated record